CACGUGGGUAACCUGCCCAAGAGAUCGGGAUAACACCUGGAAACAGAUGCUAAUACCGGAUAACAACAGAUGAUGCCUAUCAACUGUUUAAAAGAUGGUUCUGCUAUCACUCUUGGAUGGACCUGCGGUGCAUUAGCUAGUUGGUAGGGUAACGGCCUACCAAGGCGAUGAUGCAUAGCCGAGUUUAGAGACUGAUCGGCCACAUUGGGACUGAGACACGGCCCAAACUCCUACGGGAGGCAGCAGGG
This 248-nucleotide ribosomal RNA is filed under the name uncultured Lactobacillus sp. Its description in RNAcentral is "partial 16S ribosomal RNA". It matches the Rfam family "Bacterial small subunit ribosomal RNA", at positions 114 to 354 of the family's 1533-position model. The record is from RNAcentral. Lineage: Bacteria; Bacillati; Bacillota; Bacilli; Lactobacillales; Lactobacillaceae.